UAACAAGGAUUCCCCCUAGUAACUGCGAGUGAAGCGGGAAAAGCUCAAAUUUAAAAUCUGGCGGUCUUUGGCCGUCCGAGUUGUAGUCUGGAGAAGUGCUUUCCGCGCUGGACCGUGUACAAGUCUCUUGGAACAGAGCGUCAUAGAGGGUGAGAAUCCCGUCUUUGACACGGACUACCAGUGCUUUGUGAUGCGCUCUCAAAGAGUCGAGUUGUUUGGGAAUGCAGCUCAAAAUGGGUGGUAAAUUCCAUCUAAAGCUAAAUAUUGGCGAGAGACCGAUAGCGAACAAGUACCGUGAGGGAAAGAUGAAAAGCACUUUGGAAAGAGAGUUAAACAGUACGUGAAAUUGCUGAAAGGGAAACGCUUGAAGUCAGUCGCGUUGGCCAGGACUCAGCCUUGCUUUUCGCUUGGUGCAUUUUCUGGUUGACGGGCCAGCAUCGAUUUUGACCACUGGAAAAAGGCUAGGGGAAUGUGGCACCUUCGGGUGUGUUAUAGCCCUUAGUCACAUACAGUGGUUGGGAUCGAGGACCGCAGCACGCCUUUAUGGCCGGGGUUCGCCCACGUUCGUGCUCAGGAUGCUGGCGUAAUGGCUUUAAACGACCCGUCUUGAAACACGGACCAAGGAGUCUAACAUGCCUGCGAGUGUUUGGGUGGAAAACCCGAGCGCGUAAUGAAAGUGAAAGUUGAGAUCCCUGUCGUGGGGAGCAUCGACGCCCGGACCUGAACUUCGGUGAUGGAUCUGCGGUAGAGCAUGUAUGUUGGGACCCGAAAGAUGGUGAACUAUGCCUGAAUAGGGUGAAGCCAGAGGAAACUCUGGUGGAGGCUCGUAGCGAUUCUGACGUGCAAAUCGAUCGUCAAAUUUGGG
Molecule: ribosomal RNA, 865 nt
Filed under: Pilatoporus ibericus
Lineage: Eukaryota; Fungi; Basidiomycota; Agaricomycetes; Polyporales; Fomitopsidaceae
Description: partial large subunit ribosomal RNA
Rfam family: Eukaryotic large subunit ribosomal RNA
Source: RNAcentral